This 480-nucleotide ribosomal RNA is filed under the name uncultured bacterium. RNAcentral describes it as "partial 16S ribosomal RNA". It matches the Rfam family "Bacterial small subunit ribosomal RNA", at positions 29 to 507 of the family's 1533-position model. The record is from RNAcentral.
AUGAACGCUGGCGGCGUGCCUAACCCAUGCAAGUCGAACGGAGAUUACGGACGGAAGUUUUCGGGUGGAAGACUGUAAUUCUUAGUGGCGGACGGGUGAGUAACGCGUGGGCAACCUGCCCUAUACAGGGGGAUAGCAGCUGGAAACGGCUGGUAAGACCGCAUAAGUCGGUUAAAUCGCAUGAUUUGAUCGGGAAAUGAGCAAUCAGGUAUAGGAUGGGCCCGCGUCCGAUUAGCCAGUUGGCAGGGUAAAAGCCUACCAAAGCGACGAUCGGUAGCCGGACUGAGAGGUCGGACGGCCACAUUGGGACUGAGACACGGCCCAAACUCCUACGGGAGGCAGCAGUGGGGGAUAUUGCACAAUGGAGGAAACUCUGAUGCAGCGACGCCGCGUGAGUGAAGAAGUAUUUCGGUAUGUAAAGCUCUAUCAGCAGGGAAGAUGAUGACGGUACCUGACGAAGAAGCCCCGGCUAACUACGUG